Platichthys flesus (European flounder) is the source of this 817-nucleotide long non-coding RNA. RefSeq lists it as uncharacterized. The record is from RefSeq and is a predicted model, not a curated record. Lineage: Eukaryota; Metazoa; Chordata; Actinopteri; Pleuronectiformes; Pleuronectidae. The transcript has 2 exons.
ACUGGUCUCAAAGUUUGAGAGAAUCUGAGACAGGACUUUCGCUCUCAUACUCUUUGAUGUUUCCGUUUCCACACUGGGAAACGUUCUGGAGAGGAUCCAGAGCUGCUGGUGCGAAUGAGGAAGUGCCCCCCCGCUGCUGGAGUUCAUACACGUGCACCAGCAGAAGAUUCCUGUUUCCCAUCAUUCCCUCUGGACUGGGACCAGUUACCGGGCCUUUCCCAGGUGGUAAUUGUGCCGACAGCGUCCCUGGAUUAAACCUGUGUGGUGGAGAAGUGGGAUCCAGCCGGGAGCAGAGAAGACAAACAGAUUUACAGGCUGGAGGCUCGGCGGGGUUUCUGCUUUAAAUCCAAGAAUGUGAGGAUUCCUGAGGUGGACUCGGGUUUCAGCUCCGUCCUCCUGGACGUGGUCCUGAAGACACACGGGACAGCAGGAGGACACAUGUCCCCCCUCAGCUGCAGGAGGGGGGGCAGCGCUGGGUCUCCGGACAGACGUUGAAUACACGUGUUCUUUAUUUUAAAUAAGGAACCAGUUCAAAUCAAACAGGCUCAAGUAAUCGAUUACUAAUCAGAAAUCACAGUAAAUCAGUUACUCGGCUGUUUAAGUUAGGAUUUCACAAACUUUAUUCAAAUUAACUUUUUUAAAUAGCUUGAGGGAAAAACUCAUUUGAAAUCCAGAUUCAUUUUAAGAAAUGAAAAGAAAUCCACAGAAUAAAAGAGAAACUUUACAAAAACAUUUAAUUUAAACGUCUCACAGGUCGAUAAAAACAGAAUUCAAAGGAACGUGACAAGUUUGAAAUAAAACUCCAGAAUCCACCAGG